CAAAGUUGCUAGGAGUUGGUACCAGCGUUUGGGAGGUAGAGGUGGCGCUCAUGCAUAUUUGAGACAACAUCUGGAUGGUUGGGGAGAACGGUGAUGCCACACUCAAUCAGAAACUAUGCUACUGCUGAAGAGGUAUAUUGAGCCCUGCCUGGUUAACCUCCAGUGAGGUUAUUAGAGAAUUGGGAGAGGCUCAAAUCAGCAUCCUGCACCUAGUUAUCAAACCAUUGUGAAGUCUUGAUUCCUGGAUGGCCAGAAAACUUGUCAUUGGUCAAGAGCAACAUUAAGAUCUGCCUGUUACUCAUACUGAUGCUUCCUGCCCAGCAAGUUCAUCAGAGGGCGAGGAUGAAUUACGGUUGCCAUGAAUGUCCUUGUGAGGCAGUUGGGAAGCCUUGGCUGGAUUGUGAAGGAUAUUUGAAAAGUAUUUUAGAGUCCACCAGAUCAUCCAUGUGAGUGACCAUGCAGCAAAAGAAGGAGGGUCCUCUCAGUGAUUAAGGAUUAUGAAGUAUUAAUUCUUCCACUGAUAUCUCAAAAGGUGAUCUGGACAAAGGAACAGGUAUCUCAGAUUCCCAGUUCUCAAUCUUCCUUCCUCCUUACAAGAUACAAGCAACCUUCAACCUUCCCAGAGAUGGUCUCUGUAUAUGAAAGACAAUGGUCUUAUUAUGAAGUCGGCAUAUUUAUAGCUUGAUAAAAACUGAAAAAUCUGUAGCCUAUUUUUAAUAGUGAUAUAUAAGGAAAUAACAUAAAUAAAAAUUUGGCAACAAGAAUCCAGGAGCAAAUUUAUGAUCAAUACACAAUUGGGCAAGUGGUGUUCAUACCAACCAUGCAAAAAUGGUUCAAUUUUAGGAAAUCUUUGAAUAUAGCUUUUAGUAGGUCAGAGGAAAUCAGUAUCUCAAAGUACUUUCAUGAUUUAGUUAUUUUUAAGUUAUUGAUCAUUUUGGAUUUUAUUUUGAGGUUGAUAGCCAUAUAAUGAUUUCACAUUUUAUUUUAAAUGGCUAGCUGUUGUCCCAAUACUAUUUACUGAAAAAUCUACAUUUUGCUCACUCUUUUUUUUUUUUUUUAAGAGACAGGGUUUUACCAUGUUGCCCAGGCUAGAUUUGAACUCCUGGGCUCAAGUGAUCCUCUCGACCCAGCCUCCUGAGUAUCUGUGACUGCAGGCAAGUACCCCUGUGCCUGCUCACUUAUUUAAAGUUCUACACAUCAAAUACUAAAUUCUCAUCUAUUUGACUUCUGGACUCACUGGUUGGUGUCAUUGACUGUCUUUUCCUGUGAUAGCAUAGAAUUAUUUUGAUUGUGGAAGUACUAUAAAUGUUGCUAUUUAUUGUGCCUCUUGCUGCCUAUCUAUAUUUAGACUCAUUUAUGUGAUGCCAUUCUGUAUACUCUAAAUUUUUUGGUUCUAUUUUAAUAAUGUUUGAGUCAAUGACUUUUCAUGACUCUUGACUUCCCUACUUCAACAGUUUACUAGUCUCCAUCUUGAAUGUUUUUAUUAAUCUAUUUUGUGUUAAUUCUACCCAGGUUUUUUGUUUUUCCUUGCUACUAUUAUAUAUAUUUCUGCCAGAUGUCACAUGGUAUAAAUGCCUAUAUGGACUUUUGUAACAGAAAAUUUACUUACUAGAAUUAAUGUAGGGGGCUUUUUAAUAAGAGUGCAUGUAACAUAGUAACAGUAGCAGAGCUAUAUCAGAAACAGUUCUGAUAAUAUUUCAUGAUCUAUAGUUUGUUGCAUGCCCAUUGCUUCAUACUGCUUGUGUUCUUGGUUGAGUCAUAAGUAAUUUUUAUGGGGUGUGUCAUGACUGUCAUAUUCAUAGAGAGUUGUCUGCCUUGCCCCAUGGUCUUUGCAUGGCUUAAACAGGACCCCUUUUCAUACACAAGUCAUUCAAUUUUAUGUUUUUAAUAGCAUCAAUUUUAGUGUUUAACAUGUGUCUCUGGACUAUGCAUCAGAAUACUUGACUGUUAGUGUGAAAUGAAAAUUCAUGGAUAUCAUAAUUUAUGUAACAUAAUUUAACAUUUCUUUAUUAAUAAGACUUUAGAUUGUCCCUUUCACAAAAAAAUGGUGCGGUUAAAACUUAAUCCUUGUGUCUUUUUGUGAGUAGUUCUAUGAUUUCUAUAUGAUGGCAUCCUUGAAAAAGUUGGUAAAAAUAAGAAUAGUUCUUAUUUAUUAAAGUUCUUCUCAAAUUGCUCUUCCAAAACAUUUUAGUUUAUACUGCAAUGUUAACCAUUUUACACUUGCUUAAGUAAUUUUCUUCAAAUACACACGAGUCCAGGCUAUUUAACCUUAUUUUACCGCUAUAGCACAAAACAGGUUUUCCAAAAUUGUCCUUGCACACCUGGGAUUUUACAAGGAUAUUAUAAUCUUGGUUCAGUUUGACUUACUGAAUUUGUAGUAAGUAUAUUUUAGCACAUAGAAAAUUCAAAAUAUGUGUUAAUCUGUUUAUAGGGUAAAUUUUUAUGAGGGUGGAUGUCAUCCUGUUUUUUUUUUUUUUAAUAAAUGUUUUGUUUCAGAAUGUUUUUUAUUUACAGAAAAGUUACAAACAUAGUACAGAGAGUUCCCAAAUGCUCCACACCGAGUUUUCCCUAUUGUUUUUUUUUUUUUUUUUGAGAUGGAGUCUCGCUCUGUUGCCCAGGCUGGAGUGCAGUGGUGCAAUUUCGGCUCACUGCAAGCUCCGCCUCCCGGGUGCACCCCAUUCUCCUGCCUCAGCCUCCGGAGUAGCUGGGACUACAGGUGCCCGCCACCGUGCCCGGCUAAUUUUUUGUAUUUUUAUUAGAGACGAGGUUUCACUGUGUUAGCCAGGAUGGUCUCGAUCUCCUGACCUCGUGAUCCGCCCGCCUCGGCCUCCCAAAGUGCUGGGAUUACAGGCCUGAGCCACCGAGCCCGACCAGUUUUCCCUAUUGUUAAUAUCUUGAAUUAGUAUAGUACAUUUGUCUCCUUCUCCUUUUUGCCCUUGGUAACCUCUAAUCUACUUUCAGUCUCUGAAUUUGCCUAUUCCAAAUAUUUUGUAUAAGUGGAAUCAUACAAUAUUUGUCCUUUUGCUUCUGGCGUAUUUCACUUAGCACAAUGCCUUCAAGGUUCAUCCAUGUUAUAGCAUAUGUCAGAACUUUAUUCUUUUUUAUAGCUGAAUAAUAUUUCAUUGUGUGUAUAUGCCACAUUUUGUUUAUCAUUCAUUUUGUUUAUGUACCAUGUUUUGUUUAUAUACAUCUAUUAGUAUGUAUUUGUUUAGAUAUACAAUUUGCUUGUAUACCACAUUUUGUUUUUCUGCUAUCUAAUGGAUUAUGCUGCUCUGGAACAUUCAUGUGAUGCUUUUGUUAAUUGCUUAUACAUUUUAUUAAGCUAAUGAGCUUGGUCAUAGUAACAUAUAAAAUCAAGAAUCGUUUAACUUUUGCAAUAAAAAUCUUGAUGUUGACUCUG
Molecule: long non-coding RNA, 3400 nt
Filed under: Homo sapiens (human)
Lineage: Eukaryota; Metazoa; Chordata; Mammalia; Primates; Hominidae
Description: FTX transcript, XIST regulator
Source: RNAcentral